This 91-nucleotide ribosomal RNA is filed under the name Sinocyclocheilus anshuiensis. The record is from RNAcentral. Lineage: Eukaryota; Metazoa; Chordata; Actinopteri; Cypriniformes; Cyprinidae.
UCCAACAUCGGCACCCAUAUAUCACCCUGCAGCCCAAGACUGGUCAGUACCUGGAUGGGAGACCUCCUGGGGAAACCAGGUGCUGUUGGAA